Numida meleagris (helmeted guineafowl) is the source of this 2327-nucleotide long non-coding RNA. RefSeq lists it as uncharacterized. The record is from RefSeq and is a predicted model, not a curated record. Lineage: Eukaryota; Metazoa; Chordata; Aves; Galliformes; Numididae. The transcript has 6 exons.
UAGUGAGGCUGAUCUGGCUGGUUUCUCCUGUAGUGGCAGAGGUGCAAAGCCCUCACAGUAUCAGUAGAGUUGGGCAAAACAGGAGCCCUGAGACAGCCCCAGUCCCCCUCUCAUGGUGGCAGCAGAGGGGCUGUAGGGCUGCACUGACCAAUUUACAGGUUUCUUGCCUCAUUAUCUGGGCAGAACAGGGACUGCUGGUUCAUCUCAGUUGGGUUUUGACCACAGCACUGCAGCCUCCUGGGGCCCAGCACUUCACAAUGCUGCUUCUCACUGGGCUGAGUUCUCAUGCUGCCUGGCUGGAGGAGGAGUUGUCAGGUGUGGUGUCAAUGCACAGAGUAACCUUGAAAACAGGCUUCAUUUUCCUCAGAUAAAUAGAAAGCAGUCAAACAAACAAACAACUACAGCGGCAAAACUUUCCAGCACAACACCAGCACAUAAAGAAACACACCGGCCUUACAGGAAAUCCCAAGGUGAUCUAUAGAAGCUGUCCUCAAUAGGCCAGCCAGCAAAGGAGCUGAAAUAUGAUGUUUUUAUCCCUGCUUUUUCUCAACUCCAUAGCUGCCCAUGAGCACCAAACUUCUUUUUUUAGGGUAAUUUUCAAAUUGACCUGAACUUAGCAGUGAAUGAGUAGAAGGCAAACAAGCACUGCAUAUUCAUGGGCAAACCCUUGACUGUUUGCCCACACAACCAGACCCAUACUGAGUGUUACGAAAAAGAAGAAAACAAAAGAAGCUGUAACUUAGAAAGCAAAGGAAGAAAACAAAUCCUUAUCCAGCUAACAUCUCUUCUACUAUGUCACUCAAGGUGGAUGUUGUUACAGUUUAUUAGAGGAAGACUCUGGAGAUAUAUCAUCCAGAGGACACAUUUAUUCAUUUCAGAAAUUCGUUCUUUGCCCUUCCAAAAAACCCACAUAUCUAGCAUCCAUGUUACAGCCACUUCUGUGAGGAGGUGAGGAAAACUGAAGUUGUAUUUAAGCAUAUUUAAGACAGGCCUCCUGCUGCCCUUCUGGUAUACUUAAUAGCAGAGAUGUGGACAGGCAGCCCUUUGGCCUCUGGACUUCCCCAUCCACAAGCUGACGGAUGUGCGUGAGCAGCACCCACCCACUGGAGCAAUGCCAGCCACAGGCAGAACAUGCCUUGGAGCAACCACUCAUCUUGUGCACAUGGCAAUAACACCUGCCUCUCACCCUUGGAGAUGUGGGCCAAUGUUACAUGAAAGCCUGCCAAGUAUGCCAUAGGGAAGCACUGGAAUUCUUCUGCUCCAUACAUGAGAGCUAUUGCAGGGUAAAUUUUCUAUUGUAUCUGUAGCAGAAAUGCUAAGUCAUGGCUUGAAACAGUGAUUGAGCACGUGGUGGGAAGGCAGGGCCAGCCCAGGGGAGCUCAGGUGCAUGGAAUGCACCUGAAUGACUGGAAGGAGUGGAGCCAGGAUCCACCCCUGCCCAGAUCUCAUUUAAGGGUUGGCAGUGGAAGCAACAAUAUCUUGCUGGAGAUCCCCCUGUGCCUGGGGCCUUCUGAAGGAUGUCUGUGUGCCUGACAGCGAGCUGCUCUGUGGCAUGGAGGUCUAAUGUCCUCAAUGGCUGCUGUUGGGUGUCAGCAUCUUCGCUCUCCUGCGAGCACUGGACACAGUCACCAUCACUACCCGGAAAAGCACAAAGGUGUUCACCUGUCAGAAAAGAGCCAGCAGACCCCUUAAUGUUCAGUGAUCUGAACUCCAGUGCGGAGAAGCCCCUCAACCAGCAUCCAUGAGAAGGCUGCCAUGAACAAGAGAUGAAGGAAGGCGGUGACCGUGAAACACAGCACCUGGAGAGAAGAGAAAUCACAUGCUCCUUCAGGAAGCAGAGUCCUCUGGAAAAUUCUGAGAAUGAGCAGCCAGGAAAAAAACAGCAACCCACACAUUGCUGUUCAACAAUUGCUUAAAUUUUCUGAAGGCUUUUUUGGUAAGAAACAAGAGUGGAAAUAAAAGGUUGUGAAUCUGGCAACCUGGACAAGAACAAGGCACCUGAGGCUGAAGUUCCAGAAGGCACAGAUGGGCCCCACCAGCUUAUCAGGCAGGUCCUGCAAGAGAGAUGGAAAAGAUGAGGUUGCACAGCCACAUGCAUCAUGCAGACUAGCGGCAGUCACUCGCUGGGCUGCAAUGUAGCAGAGCAAGGGCUGUCAGCACGAGACAACACCUCCCAGGGGAAACAGAGGGCAAGGAAUUUCAAUGAAGUCAGGCCUGUCCUCCUCAGGGCUCUGGAUCAGGUAUGCCUCACUGCUCAGCUGCUGACUGCUCAGCUCCAGCUUCCUGACCUCCAUCCCUGUAGCAGAGGCAAAAUCAGGUACUGAAAC